CUGCGGCAGCGACGCUGAUGCGUUGUUGGGUAGGGGAGCGUUCUGUAAGCCUGUGAAGGUGUGUCGUGAGGCAUGCUGGAGGUAUCAGAAGUGCGAAUGCUGACAUAAGUAACGAUAAAGCGGGUGAAAAGCCCGCUCGCCGGAAGACCAAGGGUUCCUGUCCAACGUUAAUCGGGGCAGGGUGAGUCGACCCCUAAGGCGAGGCCGAAAGGCGUAGUCGAUGGGAAACGGGUUAAUAUUCCCGUACUUGGUGUUACUGCGAAGGGGGGACGGAGAAGGCUAUGUUGGCCGGGCGACGGUUGUCCCGGUUUAAGCGUGUAGGCUGGUUUUCCAGGCAAAUCCGGAAAAUCAAGGCUGAGGCGUGACGACGAGGCACUACGGUGCUGAAGCAACAAAUGCCCUGCUUCCAGGAAAAGCCUCUAAGCAUCAGGUAACAUCAAAUCGUACCCCAAACCGACACAGGUGGUCAGGUAGAGAAUACCAAGGCGCUUGAGAGAACUCGGGUGAAGGAACUAGGCAAAAUGGUGCCGUAACUUCGGGAGAAGGCACGCUGACACGUAGGUGAAGUGAUUUACUCAUGGAGCUGAAGUCAGUCGAAGAUACCAGCUGGCUGCAACUGUUUAUUAAAAACACAGCACUGUGCAAACACGAAAGUGGACGUAUACGGUGUGACGCCUGCCCGGUGCCGGAAGGUUAAUUGAUGGGGUCAGCGCAAGCGAAGCUCCUGAUCGAAGCCCCGGUAAACGGCGGCCGUAACUAUAACGGUCCUAAGGUAGCGAAAUUCCUUGUCGGGUAAGUUCCGACCUGCACGAAUGGCGUAAUGAUGGCCAGGCUGUCUCCACCCGAGACUCAGUGAAAUUGAACUCGCUGUGAAGAUGCAGUGUACCCGCGGCAAGACGGAAAGACCCCGUGAACCUUUACUAUAGCUUGACACUGAACAUUGAGCCUUGAUGUGUAGGAUAGGUGGGAGGCUUUGAAGUGUGGACGCCAGUCUGCAUGGAGCCGACCUUGAAAUACCACCCUUUAAUGUUUGAUGUUCUAACGUGGACCCGUUACCCGGGUUGCGGACAGUGUCUGGUGGGUAGUUUGACUGGGGCGGUCUCCUCCUAAAGAGUAACGGAGGAGCACGAAGGUUGGCUAAUCCUGGUCGGACAUCAGGAGGUUAGUGCAAUGGCAUAAGCCAGCUUGACUGCGAGCGUGACGGCGCGAGCAGGUGCGAAAGCAGGUCAUAGUGAUCCGGUGGUUCUGAAUGGAAGGGCCAUCGCUCAACGGAUAAAAGGUACUCCGGGGAUAACAGGCUGAUACCGCCCAAGAGUUCAUAUCGACGGCGGUGUUUGGCACCUCGAUGUCGGCUCAUCACAUCCUGGGGCUGAAGUAGGUCCCAAGGGUAUGGCUGUUCGCCAUUUAAAGUGGUACGCGAGCUGGGUUUAGAACGUCGUGAGACAGUUCGGUCCCUAUCUGCCGUGGGCGCUGGAGAACUGAGGGGGGCUGCUCCUAGUACGAGAGGACCGGAGUGGACGCAUCACUGGUGUUCGGGUUGUCAUGCCAAUGGCACUGCCCGGUAGCUAAAUGCGGAAGAGAUAAGUGCUGAAAGCAUCUAAGCACGAAACUUGCCCCGA
RNAcentral lists this ribosomal RNA (1619 nucleotides) under Salmonella enterica. RNAcentral describes it as "partial 23S ribosomal RNA". It matches the Rfam family "Bacterial large subunit ribosomal RNA", at positions 1200 to 2802 of the family's 2925-position model. Lineage: Bacteria; Pseudomonadati; Pseudomonadota; Gammaproteobacteria; Enterobacterales; Enterobacteriaceae. The record is from RNAcentral. RNAcentral also lists the same sequence under 1 other name.